GUGCUCUCUUCGACAGCACACAUACUAAAAUUGGAAUGAUACAGAGAAUAUUAGCAUAGCCCCUGUGCAAGGAUAACACACAAACUUGUGAAUCAUUCCAUAUUUUA
Molecule: small nuclear RNA, 107 nt
Organism: Molossus molossus (Pallas's mastiff bat)
Lineage: Eukaryota; Metazoa; Chordata; Mammalia; Chiroptera; Molossidae
Source: RefSeq, a predicted model, not a curated record